AAUCAACGCUGGCGGCGUGCCUCAGACAUGCAAGUCGAACGAUUAAAGCUCCCUUCGGGGAGUGCAUAGAGUGGCGCACGGGUGAGUAACACGUAAGUAAUCUACCUUCGAGUGGGGAAUAACGUCCGGAAACGGACGCUAAUACCGCAUAAUGCAGCGGCAUCGCAAGAUGACAGUUGUUAAAGAUUUAUCGCUUGAAGAGGAGCUUGCGGCAGAUUAGCUAGUUGGUAAGGUAAUGGCUUACCAAGGCUACGAUCUGUAACCGGUCUAAGAGGACGGUCGGUCACACUGACACUGAAUAACGGGUCAGACUCCUACGGGAGGCAGCAGUGGGGAAUCUUGCGCAAUGGGCGAAAGCCUGACGCAGCGACGCCGCGUGA
RNAcentral lists this ribosomal RNA (380 nucleotides) under uncultured bacterium. RNAcentral's name for it is "bacterial SSU rRNA". It matches the Rfam family "Bacterial small subunit ribosomal RNA", at positions 32 to 404 of the family's 1533-position model. The record is from RNAcentral.